Molecule: long non-coding RNA, 847 nt
Organism: Cyprinus carpio (common carp)
Lineage: Eukaryota; Metazoa; Chordata; Actinopteri; Cypriniformes; Cyprinidae
Source: Ensembl
AUGGAGUCUAUCAAGCUGUGUGGGAAUCCCAUGGCUGCAGAUGCAGAGAACCAUGGCUCUCACCUCAUCUUUACACGGGUCACUCUUUGGACUGGCGCUUUUGUGAACACAGGCUCUAUCAAGCUGAUGUAUAUGGUCAUCUUCCAUUUGAGUUCUAGCAGUGAUGAAUACCCGCCACUCUGCUGUGCUUGUCACACGUUUGGCACGCAUUUCGGUGGAGGAAGACUGCGAAGGAGCAACGCUAGGUCACUGAUAUUGCUAGGGGCAAAAUGCUGUUGCGUGUUCAAUUCGGAGAAGAGCAGAAAUACGUCAAGCUGUCUGAGCUGACAUUCAAUGCUUUCUUGAAAGAAGGUGCCUCUCAAUCAUCAUCAUGCUCGGGUACAUCUGAUGACACCGUCAUCCUGAAUUUCACGAUGUGUGACCCUGUUGAAGAAGAAGCCGCGGCCGAAGGAAGCCAGCCUAAAAGGCCAUGCCACAUAAACUACAAGGCAAAAGCGGUAAGUGGUGGAAAUUGCUAAAUCCAAGUUGCUUAAAUUGUUAAGUCUAAUCUGAAUGUUGUUUCACCAUGGGAAGUGUUCUUAGAUAACAGUUUUUUCCAUCAUUAUUACAUAUGGUUUUACAAUAACGGAAAGUACAUUUUAUUCCACCUAUAGUUGAUUGAAAAAAUCUUAACAUCAAAGCCUGGUGGUGAAUGCAUUAUGCAAGAGUAUGGAAAAACCAAAUCCCUUACAGAUGCCACCAGAAGACAGAUGAUUAACAUACUUGCUGCUGAGAUGACAGAAACACAUGGGUAAGCAUUAAGCAUAUAGCUGGGCUGUAAAUAAACAUUAUUAUUUUACAAAUAUCA